AAUGAAGUGCCUGAAAAAGGGCUAUUUUGAUAGAAUAGAUCAUGCAUGACUUGCCUUCAUUA
RNAcentral lists this transfer RNA (62 nucleotides) under Agriotes fuscicollis. Its description in RNAcentral is "tRNA-Ile". Lineage: Eukaryota; Metazoa; Arthropoda; Insecta; Coleoptera; Elateridae. The record is from RNAcentral.